Molecule: long non-coding RNA, 534 nt
Filed under: Capsicum annuum
Lineage: Eukaryota; Viridiplantae; Streptophyta; Magnoliopsida; Solanales; Solanaceae
Description: long non-coding RNA (CANN_LNC015896)
Source: RNAcentral
UUACUUUUCCGCACUUACUGGCUUAUAGGGGCUAGUCUUAUAGUAUUAAUUAUGCUUUCUUCCACAUUAUAUCUAUUUCAGUUAUUUAUUUAUAGUAUUAGAGCGCUAUCCAGGUUUGCUCUUUUACCUUGACUUAGCUUAUUAAUCUUGCAUAUUAUUAUACUUAUACUAUGAUUUAACUCAGUCGUCUGAUGAUGCCUAUUAAGUACCCAUGGAUUUAGUACUCAUACUACAUUUCUGUACCUUUUUGGUGCAGAUCCGAGUAUUAGUGACCGCUAUUGACGUUGAGAUCGUGCUGAGUUGGGUUCGGAGAUAGAGUGAGCUCUUAGAGUCGGAGUAGCCCUUUUUCCUUCUACUAUAUAUAUCUAGUCUUUCGUUAUUCGAGAUUGAUUCGUAUUUGACUAUUACAUUACUUAUGUUCCCUUUUGUUAGUGGCUCCUGUACUGACACUAUUAGAUCGUGGGAUGUUAUUUUUAUUUUACUUAUCAUUCAGAUUAUUAUUAUUAUUUGAAUUAUUGUUGUAAGUCAUUACUU